RNAcentral lists this long non-coding RNA (6223 nucleotides) under Panax ginseng (ginseng). RNAcentral's name for it is "long non-coding RNA (PGIN_LNC004649)". Lineage: Eukaryota; Viridiplantae; Streptophyta; Magnoliopsida; Apiales; Araliaceae. The record is from RNAcentral.
GCUGGCUAUAAUUCAUCAAUAUAAUUGAGAACUAGCAUGAACAAACUUUUGACUGAAUAAGUUUUAAACAUGAACAAACAUUUCUGAACCAACUGGUAAUGAAGGUGAUCAGCCUUUCAUACCUGACUUAUACAUGCAAGAUGUACAGAGUACAAUUUUCAUGGCAACCAACAGUGAUUAACCAUAAGCUUGAAUAAAACACUCUUAGUAGAGUUAAGUAAAAUGAAACUUUCCUGAACCGUUGAUCACCGCAACGCAAUUUAUAACGCUUUACCUGAAGACCUAAUAUUUGUAAUAUAGAUCUCCAAUAUUAGAAUAAUAUCAUCACAGUAUAAUACUAUUAUAUUUAUAUACACAUAAUAACCUAAACACAUAACACAUAAGCCUAUUAGUCUAUACAGCACAUAAGACAUAACAUCAAGUCAAACUAUUUAAGUCUGAGUUAAAACCGACACAAUUCUAUCAUCCCGACGGUCUAGUCAGUCAACACUCGAGUUUAAGUUCAAUUAAACUCUGCCUACAUCCUUAACAAUUAUCACCGAUAAUUUCUUAGCAGAUAAAACAAUUUUCAUUGACUUGCAAUAAAUUUUCAGAUAAUUAAUAUCAUUUAUCAACAUUUUUCAAUCAUUAAAACCGUAUUUAAAUAAAUUAAAUACCACAUAAUUCCUUAAUCAUUAAUAUUCAUUUAAUAUAAAAUAUUAAUGAAAAUCAUUACAUAAUAUUAUAAUAUAUUUAUAAUAUAUCAAAGUAUUUUUAAUACCUUAAAAUCAUAAUUAUAUAAUUUUUAAACACUUAAAUCCAUUAUCCGAUAAUUGCUAUUAAUAUUCAAAUAUUAAUAUUUUCAUGCCAAAAUAUCAAAAGUUAUAUUUUAUAACUUAAAAUAAUUUUCUAAUACUUAAAUCAUUUUUAUAUGAUUUUUAAAUCAUUAAUACUAUUUUUCCAUAAUUUAUUUAAUAUAUAUAUUAAAUAAACUAAUUAUCAUUAAUAUAAAUUAUUAAUGAAAUUUAUCACAAAAUAUUAAAAGUCAUCAAAAAUAACUUACAAUAUUUUCUAACACCAUAAAAUAAUUUUUCAUGAUUUUUCAUGAAUUAAAACUAUUUUUAAAUAAUUUAUUUAAUAGAAUAAUUAAAUAAAUAAAUACCUUUUAUAUUCCAAAAAUAUUAAAUAUUUUCAAAAUAUACUUAAAAUAAUUAAAACUUAUUUUUCAGAAUUUAAAAUAAUUUUUCAGAAUUUAAUUAGUAUUUUUUAUAAUUAAAAACCAUUUUUUAUCUAUUUUUAAAUAAUUUUCGGAAAUUAGUAAUUAAUUUCUUAAUUAAACUGUCGCUAAAAGGGCCAUAUAGCGACAGAACCGUCGCUAUAGGUGUUCUUGGUGUUCAUGAGCCUGCGCAGAUUUCCUUGUCAGACACCAAGUUGGUAUGUUUGACCGAAAUUUAAUCCAUGACACUUAGGCUUUCUGACCAGAAUCUACUGUUUAUAUUGUAGCAUAAGUGUAAUACUACCAUCAUCAAUCAAUUUCAUGUCCAUAACAUAUUAUUACAGAGAGAUCUAGGCCAACUAAAUUGAUGUCAGACCUGUUCUUCAAAUUCUGGAAAUUCCAGAUUUGAAGAACAGCCUUAGGUGCAUACUUUGAUGCCUUGUAUCAUGCAAUUUAUGCAUUGUUUGUGUGAUCUAAAGGUUCUAUUUUGUAGUAAUGAUGUCAGGGUACAAUUAUAUUACAUUAUAUCAACCUAAAAACAUCACAACUAAGAGAUCAAAGCCGGUCAAUUUCUGACAACAACUCGGCUGAUGAAGAUCUGGGUUUUCCAGAAAACCUUCAUCAAGCAGUUUGGUCAACGCCGUUUGACCGUAAUUAAUUUUGAUUCUGUGAACUUUCUAGGUGAUCUAAAGACAUUAAUGUGUAGUAAUUACACCAGACUACAACAUCAACACAACAACUUAGCCCAACACUUAAAUCACAGCAAGAUUAAGAGCUUCAAAAAGGUUGUCAGAUAACAUAGAAAUUUCUGGGCUGCCCAGAAAUCAUAUUUUGUGAUCGGUCAACUAGGUUUGACCGUUCAUAACUUUUGAUCUAGACAAUAUCUGGACUAGUUUCAAGUUGGAGAUUAAAGACCAAAUAACAUACUACAACUACAAACUCUUAAAACACUAAAACAAUUAACACAUACGGAUUUAUGGGGUCUGACAUUAUGCUGUCAGACCAUAUUUUUCCCAUUUUCCAGAUUUCUUAAAAUGCCAAAUCCGAGCACUUUGAUGUUAUGGGUUUGUGUUUUGACAACCCAGAUCAUCAUUUGACACCCUAUUACACAUGUUUAACCAACAAACAACAACAUUAAACAUCAAAAUCAUAGAUUUGCAAGGUUAGGGUUUUAUACCACUUUUUGAGCUUUGAUUCAUGAAUCUGACUUUGGAUUCUGUUCUUGGCUUGCUAAAACUCGAUCAUGGCUUCAUCUUUUCUUUCUCUCUCACUCUAGAUUUCGAAUUUUAGAGAGAGAGGGUCUUGGAAGAAAAUGCAAAAUAAAGUGAGCAUUAUCUCUCUUUUAAUCUUAUAUAUGUGAUAUGAUUCAAUGCAUGAUGCUGAUUUUGCUGAGAUUACUGGUCAUAUUAGUCACAUGCUAGGCUAGGGUUUGGUGAGCAACUCACCAUAGGCUUAGAUCUACAAGCAAUGUCCAAUAAUGCAACAAAGGGUAAUUUAGUCUUUUCCAUUCUAAUUUUAAUGGCAUUUUAGUAAAUGGCCAAACCCUUAGGGUUUAGGGUUUGAGAGGGUUUAGGGUUUGGAAAAUUUUUAGGAUUUAGGGUUUGAACCCUCAAGUUUAACAAUUUGAUUUUCUAAAAUUUCCAAAUUUAGAUUUUCAAAAAUAGAAAUUUAAUAUUUCUAAAUUAUAAUUAGGAUUCUAUUAUAAUAAUUAAGAUUUCCUAAUCAUAAAUUCAAUCUUGCUAAUUAGGAUUAGCAUUUCCUAAUACAAUCGCUAAUUAAGCAAUUAGGGUCAAAAUGGUCAUUAGGGUUUAUAAACCACUAAUUAGGGUUUCUAAUAGAAAAUAAAUUUUCUAAAUUAGAAAUUAGAUUUUCGUAAUUAGAUUAGGGUUUCCUAAUUACUUAACCUUAAAAUUAGGAUUAAUAUAUCCUAAUUAACAUUAAAUUACUAAAUUAACACUUAGGUUUCCCUAAUUAUAAAAUUAGGGUUUUUUUUACCGAAAUUAGGGUUUAACAACUAUUAGGGUUUGCUAACUAAUUAAGUGUUACCCUAAUUAAUAUUAUAAUUAUUUACAUUUACGCCAUUAAGUUCCCGAUUUAGGGUUUCAUGCACCGAAUUAGGGUUUCGGAUUCUCGAAACUGAAAUUAGGGUUUCCAGAACCAGUUUCUAGGGUUUCUUGUCAGACGUUAGGGUUUUCUAACUGAACGUUGGCGUUCUUAAUAUACGAUUAGGGUUUGACACAUAUAUAAUUAAUCUGGUCAAUCCUUGACCCUCAACCACAUUCUGAACACAUACAUAACCAUAAACACAGAACAUAGUCACAUAAAUCCUUAAUCCUGAAUAAUUCACCUAAAUCCUUCACAGAAUUUUGAAAUCCUCAAAAUUCAAUCCUAAUAACAUUAAACGCAUACACUUAUUUUCUGUUUAGGUCUAAUAUUUGACCUUAAAUCAAUCAUUUAUGAUUUUAAUAAUUUGUCUAAAUUCUCGGGUUGUCACAUUCACCCCUCCUUAUAAGAAUUUCGUCCCCGAAAUUCACCUUAAACCUUACACCAAAUAGCUUACGCCAUUCAUCAUACACCAUUCACACAUAUUUGCUUGCUACCCAAUUCACCACUCACAAGAGUAAAAGUUUUCAAAUUAUACUGAGGGGUCAUAUAGACCAUGAACACAUAGAUUUGAUGGUUUUGAUCAUACCGCAAAACAAUACAUUACUUGGUCUGUUUACAAUCACAAAGAAGGUAAACUACCGUUGUUAGUACUUUAGGUGAUCAGCCUAUCGUACUCGUACGUCAUGUAUAACGUAUUAAUCAUUUCUAGCGAAUAUUUACGCUACUAGAUUGGAUUAUUUAUCCAAACAUUAUCGUUCACCUCAGUCUUAUCAUAAGAUUCCGCACCAAAACAAUUUGGUUCGGGAAAUUUCUUUCAAUGAACACUUAGAGUUUUCAUAAACAUUAGUCUAGCUGAUUCAAAUAGCAUAGACUCAUAUCAAUAAUUCAAUUCAAUCGAAUUAUUUAGAUGUAGCCAAACCCCGUUGGCAAAUUAAACUUUUUGAAAACAUUUUCGAGAAUGACGUCAUGAUGCCGUACUGUAUUAACAAUCCGUUGAGGAUGCCGUCAUUGUAUGACUUUGUCAUAACACAUCAUACAAUAGUGGAACAGCGACUUCAGGUCAAAUUCACACUAAGUAUUCCUGUAUUUACAACUCCAUCACAUUUUUAUCAUCUCUGCACCAGGUUACAUGGUACAUGAGCGAUAAUUAAAAUACAUUUUGAUAUUUCAAAUCAUUUGAGUCUAGCUGAAAUAAGUAGCAUAGACUGUAUUUUAAACCGUUUCAAAAAUGGUUACGAGUCUACAUUUUUUUUAAAAGGCACAUAGUGCGUAUUUAGCUUGAUGUCAAAAUUUCAAAGUUUAGCAUAGCUAGGAGUUUAGGGAAACCUAAGUCUCCACUAAUGAUCAUUUGCUUAACAAUCUAUCUGUUCCUAUAAUCCUUAACACUCCAUUCACACACAACUAUACCCAGUUCAUAAAACCACACUUAUGAGUCCAUAAAUUGCCACAAUCAUAUGAGUUUAAGAACUUAUCCUAGUCUGACGUUUGGCGUCCGUUCACUGAGGGGUUCAUAAACGUUUCAUAUAACUAUGAAUCAAGUAUGUCAAAUAAGUAUGAGUGUUAAGAACUCGUACUUAAUCCUAUAUUCUCUACCUAUGAUCUAUCUAUUUGUUAUACACAUUAGAAAGGAAUCACCCUCUUAAUCUGCAUAUAGCAAAUAGCGCGACACAAGCAUUUCAACGAUUAUCAAUGCCAGAAACUAAGUGGUUGUCAAACCAAACUCGACCACUAAUCAAUAUAGGAAGCUAAGUGAACAAUUCCCCGCCCAUACAAAGAAUUGGUCAACCUAACCACUACAUCAACUAGGAAGCUAAGUGACUCUAAAACCAAGUACAAAUUCCCCGCCCAUACAAGGAAUCAUACAACUCAGCUGCCGACAUGAGUCCUCAAUUCAAAUCCCCACCUAAUCUUAACCCCCUUUUUCCAUACGAAUUUCAUUUAAUCCGUAUCCAUAAUCCACAACCCUUUCAUGAGCUUUUCAUUGUACAAUUUCAUAGUACAACUGAUACACAACAUUUUGCUGUAGACUUUUCAAUCAUCAGAUUGAUUCUUUCAGGCUGUCAUAACCUUAUCAGAUCACGGGGUGAUCUCAUCGUAUAUAUUACGAUUCAAUUCUAUGACUUGAUCGUUUUGUUUUACGAUCUCUUAUCACUGCACUACUGUUCACCACUUCUGUUCACCACUAUUACCAGAGUUAGAGAACUCUAUGUCUUUACACUCAUCGAGAUUCAUCUUUGAAUCUUACCGACCAACUAACUCUAUUUGAGUUAGUACUUAAUCCUAUUCAGUGUGGUUAUUGGUCUCAGGUAUUACUACCUAAGCUUCAUAACCAACAACUUUGAUACCAAUUGUAGCAUCCUCGAAUCCAGGUCCCAAAUCACCUCGGAUCCGGUACACUAUUUCUAUUACUAAUUGCGGAAGAUAUAAACAUAAAUUGUUUAUACAUUAAACUUACACACUUUUCCCCAAAAUCGAGUAACCUUAACUUAAACACAAUUCAUAAACUUUCUAACAUAUAACACAUUUAUCAAACUAUACUAUUACAAAAUAGCCGCACAUUUGAUCACAAACUGAACUUGGCCUUAACCUUUUCCUGUAUCUGAACGCAUUCGUAUUAUUUGCAAUGUUUUAUCAUGAUAUAGCAAGGGUGAGCAUGAAAGUUGCCCAGCAAGUUUAAAUACAAUUUAAGGAUAUAUCAUGAUUGAAAGAGUUAGAAUAAAGAGCUGGCUAUAAUUCUUCAAUAUAAUUGAGAACUAGCAUGAACAAACUUUUGACUGAACAAGUUUUAAACAUGAACAAACAUUUCUGAACCAACUGGUAAUGAAGGUGAUCAACCUUUCAUACCUGACUUAUACAUGCAAGAUGUACAGAGUACAAUUUUCGUGGCAACCAACAAUGAUUAACCAUAAGCUUGAAUAAAAC